RNAcentral lists this ribosomal RNA (642 nucleotides) under uncultured actinomycete. RNAcentral's name for it is "bacterial SSU rRNA". It matches the Rfam family "Bacterial small subunit ribosomal RNA", at positions 233 to 885 of the family's 1533-position model. The record is from RNAcentral. Lineage: Bacteria; Bacillati; Actinomycetota; Actinomycetes; Actinomycetales.
GCGGCCUAUCAGCUUGUUGGUGAGGUAAUGGCUCACCAAGGCGACGACGGGUAGCCGGCCUGAGAGGGCGACCGGCCACACUGGAACUGAGACACGGUCCAGACUCCUACGGGAGGCAGCAGUGGGGAAUAUUGCACAAUGGGCGCAAGCCUGAUGCAGCGACGCCGCGUGGGGGAUGAAGGCCUUCGGGUUGUAAACCCCUUUUAGCAGGGAAGAAGCGAAAGUGACGGUACCUGCAGAAAAAGCGCCGGCUAACUACGUGCCAGCAGCCGCGGUAAUACGUAGGGCGCAAGCGUUGUCCGGAAUUAUUGGGCGUAAAGAGCUCGUAGGCGGUUUGUCGCGUCUGCUGUGAAAAUCCGAGGCUCAACCUCGGACUUGCAGUGGGUACGGGCAGACUAGAGUGUGGUAGGGGAGACUGGAAUUCCUGGUGUAGCGGUGGAAUGCGCAGAUAUCAGGAGGAACACCAAUGGCGAAGGCAGGUCUCUGGGCCACAACUGACGCUGAGGAGCGAAAGCAUGGGGAGCGAACAGGAUUAGAUACCCUGGUAGUCCAUGCCGUAAACGGUGGGCACUAGAUGUGGGGCUCUUUCCAUGAGUUCCGCGUCGCAGCUAACGCAUUAAGUGCCCCGCCUGGGGAGUACGG